Molecule: long non-coding RNA, 763 nt
Organism: Capsicum annuum
Lineage: Eukaryota; Viridiplantae; Streptophyta; Magnoliopsida; Solanales; Solanaceae
Exons: 2
Source: RefSeq, a predicted model, not a curated record
UUGUUGCGUUGUGAUUGGGGAAGUUAAGGGUACGCCUCGGAAGAGUUUUGAAAUUUUUAGACGGGCUUAAGGACACGUUUGGUAUUCCAUUCCAGUAGAUGGGCGCAAUUGGCCCGCGGCGCUUGCUAAAUCGCGUGUGAUGGACCUUAGCCUGCGAUUGAGAGGGCGACGCCUGCUUAAUCGCGGUGCUCUAGACCAGGCGGCGCCUGGUGGAUCGCCCCAAGCCUUUUUCAGUGAGUCCUCCUAAAUUUUAAUGGCAUUUUGGUAAUCAACCAUUCCCCAAUCAUCUUAAACACGGGAUUUAAUCCCUCAAACACCAUAAUACACAUACUUUCCCCAAAAUUAUUCAAGAACUCUCUCUAGGGUUUCAAAAUAAAAACCCAAGUAGUUCAAGAUUUAACCAUGGGUUUUCAAAAUAAAUUAUAGAUUCGGAAUCCCCAAUCUAUAAGCUUCAAGAAUCAUCCAUUAUUUUCUGAAAUAGAGGUUCUGAGGCACAGUGUAGGGGUCCAGCUAAUCAGUAGAUACUUUCAGAUUGCAGACCGGAUUUUGCAGUGGGGAGCCUUCUAUCAUUCAGAAGGCCUAGUCAUGUCUGACUUUCAUUAUUGUUUAUUUUUUGGUCUACUGGGGGCCUUGUUCCAGUUUUCAGACAGCUUGUUUAGUUCAGAGUAGAGAUUUUGCAGACUGAGUCAGAUAGUAUUAUUCAGAUACAUUUUCAGUUUCAGUAUUAUUAUCUUAUUCAGAUUGACCAUGUUUCCAUUUCAAA